GAUGAACGCUGGCGGCGUGCCUAAUACAUGCAAGUCGAGCGAACAGACGAGGAGCUUGCUCCUCUGACGUUAGCGGCGGACGGGUGAGUAACACGUGGAUAACCUACCUAUAAGACUGGGAUAACUUCGGGAAACCGGAGCUAAUACCGGAUAAUAUAUUGAACCGCAUGGUUCAAUAGUGAAAGACGGUUUUGCUGUCACUUAUAGAUGGAUCCGCGCCGCAUUAGCUAGUUGGUAAGGUAACGGCUUACCAAGGCAACGAUGCGUAGCCGACCUGAGAGGGGGAUGGGCCACAAGGGAAGGGAGAAAGGGUCAAAACCCGUAGGGGGGGAAACAGAGGGGAAUUUCCCGAAAGGGGCGAAAGCCGGACGGGGAAAGGCCGGGGGAGGGAGGAAGGUUUUGGGAUUGUAAAACUCUGUUAUGAGGGAAAAAAAAAGGUGAAAGAAAAAAUGAACGUUUUGAGGGUACUAAAACAAAAAGCCACGGCUAACUACGU
Molecule: ribosomal RNA, 496 nt
Filed under: uncultured bacterium
Lineage: Bacteria
Description: partial 16S ribosomal RNA
Rfam family: Bacterial small subunit ribosomal RNA
Source: RNAcentral